This 840-nucleotide long non-coding RNA is filed under the name Felis catus (domestic cat). RNAcentral's name for it is "lncRNA (ENSFCAG00000042176.2)". The record is from RNAcentral. Lineage: Eukaryota; Metazoa; Chordata; Mammalia; Carnivora; Felidae.
AUAGCAUAAUAAAAAUCUAAUUUUUCUAGACAAAGUAUCCUUAGUAAAAUUACAAACUGGUAAUUUUUUAUGUUUAUUUAUUUAUUUUGAGAGAGAGAGAGAGAGAGAGAGAGAGAGAAUGUGAGCAUGAGUGAGGGAGGGGCAGAGAGAGAGAAGGAGAGAGAGAAUUCCAAGCAUGUUCUGUGCUGUCAGUGCAGGGACUAUGAGAUCAUGACCUGAGCUGAGAUCAAGAGCGGGACACAACCAACUGAGCCAUUCAAGUGCCCCUACAAAUGCUAAUUUUUAUAAUUAUCAUUACUGAAUUUAUGCUGAAAAAUAUUCAGGUUGGAAAUGUUUGAGAGCUGAAGGAAACCUGUAGCUCUGAUUAGAAUGAACUUAGAUUAUACAGAAGGCCUGCCCUACAAUUAUACAUGUGCCGACAUUAAAACUCAGAGAAGCAGCAGCCCAUGGUACAAGGACUAAGUGGAAGCUUAAUAUAAUAUAAUAUAAUGGAAACCAUAUGGUGCAUGGGCAGGCAGCCCCUUGCCGUGGAUACUACGUUGUUCUCACCACAUUAAUGUACACACUGAAGACCAACCAAGGGAGGUCCGUAUCAAAAAAACAGGAGGAGGAGGAGGAAGAGGAAGAGGGAGAGGAGGAGGAAGAGAAGCAGAAGGAGAAGGAGAAAGAGAAGGAGAAGGAGAAGAAGGAAGGAGAAGAAUGAGGAGGAAGAGAAGGAGAAGAAGCGGAAAAGGAAGGAGAAGAAGAAUGAGGAAGAGUAGAAGACAAGGAAGAAGAGGAAGAGGAAGAGGGAAAAGCUUUCAAUAUGUCACCAUCAAAUAUGAUGUUAUUAUUUUUUUU